AGAGUUUGAUCCUGGCUCAGAGCAAACGCUGGCGGCGUGCCUAAUACAUGCAAGUCGAACGAGGAAGUACCUUCGGGUAUUGUACUAGUGGCGCACGGGUGAGUAACACGUAGGUAAUCUGCCCUUCAGAGGGGAAUAACCAGUCGAAAGAUUGGCUAAUACCGCAUAAGACCACAAUAUCUGCGGAUAUAGGGGUUAAAGGUUUUUCGCUGAAGGAUGAGCCUGCGUCCGAUUAGCUAGUUGGUAGGGUAAUGGCCUACCAAGGCAACUAUCGGUAGCUGGUCUGAGAGGAUGACCAGCCACACUGGAACUGAGACACGGUCCAGACUCCUACGGGAGGCAGCAGUAGGGAAUAUUGCACAAUGGAGGAAACUCUGAUGCAGCGACGCCGCGUGAGUGAUGAAGGCCUUCGGGUUGUAAAGCUCUGUUCUUGGGGACGAAAAAAAUGACGGUACCCAAGGAGAAAGGAUCGGCUAACUUCGUGCCAGCAGCCGCGGUAAGACGAGGGAUCCUAGCGUUGCUCGGAAUUAUUGGGCGUAAAGCGGGUGUAGGUGGCUUCGUAAGUCAGUAGUGAAAGCCCUGGGCUUAACCCGGGAAGUGCUAUUGAUACUGCUUAGCUUGAGUGUGGGAGAGGAUAGUAGAAUUCCUGGUGUAGUGGUGAAAUACGUAGAUAUCAGGAGGAAUCCCGGUGGGGAAGCCGGCUAUCUGGCCUAACACUGACACUCAGACCCGAAAGCGUGGGGAUCAAACAGGAUUAGAUACCCUGGUAGUCCACGCCAUAAACGAUGGAUACUUGUUGUUGGAGGUAUUGACCCCUUCAGUGACGAAGCUAACGCGUUAAGUAUCCCGCCUGGGAAGUACGGUCGCAAGAUUAAAACUCAAAGAAAUUGACGGGGGCCCGCACAAGCGGUGGAGCAUGUGGUUCAAUUCGAUGCAACGCGAAGAACCUUACCUAGAUUUGACAUAUAUUGGAAGACUACCAGAAAUGGUGUCGCCCGCAAGGGCCGAUAUACAGGUGCUGCAUGGCUGUCGUCAGCUCGUGUCGUGAGAUGUUGGGUUAAGUCCCGCAACGAGCGCAACCCUUGCCUUUAGUUGCCAGCAUUUAGUUGGGCACUCUAGAGGGACUGCCGACGUUAAGUCGGAGGAAGGUGGGGAUGACGUCAAGUCCUCAUGGCCUUUAUAUCUAGGGCUACACACGUGCUACAAUGGCCGGUACAGAGGGCAGCCAAGUCGCGAGAUGGAGCUAAUCCCAUAAAGCCGGUCUAAGUUCGGAUCGAAGUCUGCAACUCGACUUCGUGAAGGCGGAAUCGCUAGUAAUCGCGGAUCAGAACGCCGCGGUGAAUACGUUCCCGGGCCUUGUACACACCGCCCGUCACACCAUGAAAGUUGGCUGUACCAGAAGUCGCUGUGUUAACCGCAAGGAGACAGGCGCCCAAGGUAUGGUCGAUGAUUGGGGUGAAGUCGUAACAAGGUAACC
This 1477-nucleotide ribosomal RNA is filed under the name uncultured bacterium. RNAcentral describes it as "bacterial SSU rRNA". It matches the Rfam family "Bacterial small subunit ribosomal RNA". The record is from RNAcentral.